GAUGAACGCUGGCGGCGUGCUUAACACAUGCAAGUCGAGCGAGAAAAGUUCUUCGGAGCUUUUCUAGCGGCGGACGGGUGAGUAACACGUGGGCAACCUGCCUCAUAGAGGGGAAUAGCCUUCCGAAAGGAAGAUUAAUACCGCAUAAUAUUGUUGAAAGGCAUCUUUUAACAAUCAAAGGAGCAAUCCGCUAUGAGAUGGGCCCGCGGCGCAUUAGCUAGUUGGUGAGGUAACGGCUCACCAAGGCGACGAUGCGUAGCCGACCUGAGAGGGUGAUCGGCCACAUUGGAACUGAGACACGGUCCAGACUCCUACGGGAGGCAGCAGUGGGGAAUAUUGCACAAUGGGGGAAACCCUGAUGCAGCAACGCCGCGUGAGUGAUGAAGGUCUUCGGAUUGUAAAGCUCUGUCUUUAGGGACGAUAAUGACGGUACCUAAGGAGGAAGCCACGGCUAACUACGUG
Molecule: ribosomal RNA, 462 nt
Filed under: uncultured organism
Description: bacterial SSU rRNA
Rfam family: Bacterial small subunit ribosomal RNA
Source: RNAcentral